RNAcentral lists this small RNA (1591 nucleotides) under Pan troglodytes (chimpanzee). RNAcentral's name for it is "processed transcript". The record is from RNAcentral. Lineage: Eukaryota; Metazoa; Chordata; Mammalia; Primates; Hominidae.
AUGUAAGAAUUUCAAGGCCACAACUCCAUAUUUGAAGUAAAGUGCUCAUAAAAUUAAUUGCAAGGUUUUGAGAAGCCAUCUGCAGCUCACAACUAGAUGAGUGACACAAUCAGAUAAAAAAGCCUAGAGACAUUGAACUAAGAUCAAAUUAAAUGUAUUAAAUAUGGUAGAAAGAAGAGAGAAUGAAAAAUAAUGUUAACAAUCUAGGUGAGGAAUUGCUGAGGAGACAAAUUAAGUAAAUCCUGUGGAAGGAAAGAAGAAAGGAGGAAAGAGGAUUGGAUGGAAGAAUCUCCACUUCUCAUAGGUGUAGUCCUUCCUUAGCCUGCUUUUUAAUGACUGCUGCUAAAGCCCUUAGCCUGCCUGUUUACCCUUGGAGUGGAGCAAUGAACUGAAGAUAUUUGAGUGAGUUCAAGAGAGACUCAGAAGAGAAGAAUUGGAGGCAGCAAACAUAGACAGCACUUUUAAUGCUUUUCUCAUAUGCUGUAAGACAUGAAAGCAAUCUAUUGGGAUGAAAGCUGAAAGGAGAAGCGGGACAAGAGAAGUGAAUCCGUGGAAGACCCCCAAAAGAGGCUGCAGAUUCUUGGUGGACAGCUCUCAUAUCCCCUCCAGGGAAAAUGAUGAAAAAUGUCUUCAGAAAAAUAGCUUUAUGAAGGCAAGAGGACUUUUUGCACCUGCAAGACAUGUCUGAAAGCUCCACAGGUCAAAACACAAGUAGUCAAGAGAUUUGUCCAUCUAAUUCAUCAUACUACUCUGAUCCAAGUGAGACCCACACUGGGUCAGCUCCAUCAAGGAGAAGAACAUUCCACCCACGUUUGGAUUCUGGAAUAUCAUCCUUGCUUCCAUCAGAUUCUUGUAAGUACCUCACUUGGCACAAGAUAGAACAACAUGGCGUUCAAGAAAGUCAACUGCGUUGCCCAAGAGUAAGAGAAGGACCCUCUGAAGAAGAGCAACUUUUCAGACAGGUAGAGUGUGCCUUGCUCCCAAGGAAAAGAGUUCUUGAAAAAAACAAAUGGGAAACAUGGCUACAAGAAAACUGGGAAGACUGCAAGAAAAUCUCAGAAUCUGCUUGAGAAUCCUGUCCUUCUUCCUCCAUACACCCAUGGAACACUCCCAAACUCUGUAUGCUGCUCACUAAUUCUGAUUAAGGUCUUCACCCUCCCUACCUUGGAAAUUGCUACAACAUAAUUGUGUUUAAUUUGAACAUUUCAUUUCAGGAUUUGGGGGAUCCUUACCAGGUUGAAAAUUUUAACAGAAUUCUUAGAAGACUAAUUCGAGUUGAAACCCCCUGUUACCAAAGAUACCUCAGAUACAGCAUUUAUCCUUGGCCGAAAACCACAUUGAGACUCUUACUGGAUUCUCCAGUUUACGGUGCACUCCACUGGAAUCCCUUAUUCUCAAGAGGAACCCUUAGUAUUCUCCUGUUUGCCAAACUUAAAAAUGCUGGAUGGAAUCUUGAAGCUACCAGAAGAUUGCUUAUCACCAGAAACCAAUAUUUUUUCAAAAAUAUGCCUUGUAUCCUAAUGCAGUCUGUAUAGAAAGAAAGCAAUCAUCAUUUUUGCUAAAAGCUAAUAAACACAGGACAUGCAUGAUU